Molecule: ribosomal RNA, 581 nt
Filed under: Lactococcus garvieae
Lineage: Bacteria; Bacillati; Bacillota; Bacilli; Lactobacillales; Streptococcaceae
Description: bacterial SSU rRNA
Rfam family: Bacterial small subunit ribosomal RNA
Source: RNAcentral
AAAGGAAUWGRSGGGGSCCCGCACAAGCGGGGGACAUGUGGUUUAUUCGAAGCAACGCGAAGAACCUUACCAGGUCUUGACAUACUCGUGCUAUCCUUAGAGAUAAGGAGUUCCUUCGGGACACGGGAUACAGGUGGUGCAUGGUUGUCGUCAGCUCGUGUCGUGAGAUGUUGGGUUAAGUCCCGCAACGAGCGCAACCCUUAUUACUAGUUGCCAUCAUUAAGUUGGGCACUCUAGUGAGACUGCCGGUGAUAAACCGGAGGAAGGUGGGGAUGACGUCAAAUCAUCAUGCCCCUUAUGACCUGGGCUACACACGUGCUACAAUGGAUGGUACAACGAGUCGCCAACCCGCGAGGGUGCGCUAAUCUCUUAAAACCAUUCUCAGUUCGGAUUGCAGGCUGCAACUCGCCUGCAUGAAGUCGGAAUCGCUAGUAAUCGCGGAUCAGCACGCCGCGGUGAAUACGUUCCCGGGCCUUGUACACACCGCCCGUCACACCACGGAAGUUGGGAGUACCCAAAGUAGGUUGCCUAACCGCAAGGAGGGCGCUUCCUAAGGUAAGACCGAUGACUGGGGUGAAGUC